CCUACGGGGGGCUGCAGUGGGGAAUAUUGCGCAAUGGGCGAAAGCCUGACGCAGCGACGCCGCGUGAGGGAUGAAGGUCUUCGGAUCGUAAACCUCUGUCAGCAGGGAAGAACGGUCACGGUGCUAAUCAGCAGUGAAUUGACGGUACCGGCAAAGGAAGCACCGGCUAACGCCGUGCCAGCAGCCGCGGUAAUACGGAGGGUGCGAGCGUUAAUCGGAAUUACUGGGCGUAAAGCGCUCGUAGGCGGUAUGUCCAGUCAAGGGUGAAAUCCCCGCGCUCAACGUGGCAACUGCCUUUGAAACUGGCAACCUGGAGUGUGUGUGAGGCUAGUGGCAUUCCCGGUGUAGGCGUGCACUCCGUAGAUAUCUGGAGGCACCUCAGUGGCGAAGGCGACUCUCUGGCCCAUACCUGCCGCUGAGGCGCGAACGCGUGGGUAGCAAACAGGAUUCGCUACCCUAGUAGUC
RNAcentral lists this ribosomal RNA (465 nucleotides) under uncultured bacterium. RNAcentral describes it as "partial 16S ribosomal RNA". It matches the Rfam family "Bacterial small subunit ribosomal RNA", at positions 338 to 795 of the family's 1533-position model. The record is from RNAcentral.